CGCUGUGGUAACCUGUGGUAACGUGUGGUAACGCUGUGGUAGCGUGUGGUAACCCUGUUAACCCUGUGGUAAUGUUGUUAACCCUGUGGUAAUGCUGUUAACCCUGUGGUAACGCUGUGGUAACGUGUGGUAACCCUGUUAACCCUGUGGUAACCCUGUUAACCCUGUGGUAACCAAAUCCCACCAGCUGCAACCUGUUCCGUAAUCAAGACCUCUACAAAUACUCAGCCCUGCCACUUCCACGCUGCCAGAUCGUAGCCUCUACUCAGUCAGUCUGCAUUUCUAGCUGUUUGUUCCUAGCCUCACGCUGCUUUUUCUCUCUGCUACAGUCCCGUCUGCUCUGACUCUGGUACCUGUCUCCAGUCCCUCGUCUCUUCAGUCCUGCUUCCUUGCCCUGGAUCCCCGCUCUACUGCGUCAUUGGAUUCUUCUCCAGACCUGCUUACCUGGUUCCUAAUCUCCUUGCCCUCAGCCUCAGUCCGGAUUCCCUACUACCCACCCCAUCUCCUCUCCUGAUAAUAAAUACAUUGGUUACCUAACCUCGUCUCCUCGUCUGAGUCUGCAUUUGGGUUCACCUGCACCGCCCCGCGUAACAGUGUAUGGAUUAUAGUAGACAAACCAUAGGAUUGCAUAGGUCAGAGGGGCCGGGCCACACAGAGGAUAAGAAGAUUGUCUCUGAAGUCAAAUCCUCUUGUUACGUCAUACGUGUGUCUCUACCAUUAAUCAGAGAGAGAGAGAGAGAGAGAGAGAAGAGAGAGAGAGAGAGAGAGAGAGAGAGAGAGGUGAAGAAGGAAGAGAGAGAGAGAGAGAGAGAGAGAGAGAGAGAGAGGUGAAGAAGGAAGAGAGAGAGAGGUGAAGAAGGAAGAGAGAGAGAGGUGAAGAAGGAAGAGAGAGAGAGAGAGAUGAAGAAGAAGUGAGAGAGAGAGAGAAAGAGAGAGAGGUGAAGAAGGAAGAGAGAGAGAGAGAGGGUGAAGAAGGAAGAGAGAGAGAGAGAGAGAGAGAGAGGUGAAGAAGGAAGAGAGAGAGAGAGAGAGAGAGAGAGAGAGGUGAAGAAGGAAGAGAGAGAGAGAGAGAGAGGUGAAGAAGGAAGAGAGAGAGAGAGAGAUGAAGAAGGAAGAGAGAGAGAGGUGAAGAAGGGAGAGAGAGAGAGAGGUGAAGAAGGAAGAGAGAGAGAGAGGUGAAGAAGGAAGAGAGAGAGAGAGGGGUGAAGAAGGGAGAGAGAGAGGUGAAGAAGGGAGAGAGAGAGAGAGAGGUGAAGAAGGAAGAGAGAGAGAGAGGUGAAGAAGGAAGAGAGAGAGAGAGAGAGAGGUGAAGAAGGGAGAGAGAGAGGUGAAGAAGGAAGAGAGAGAGAGAGGUGAAGAAGGAAGAGAGAGAAAGAGGUGAAGAAGGAAGAGAGAGAUAGAGAGAGAGAGCGGUGAAGAAGGAAGAGAGAGAGAGAGAGAGGUGAAGAAGGAAGAGAGUGAGAGAGAGAGAGAGAGAGGUGAAGAAGGGAGAGAGAGAGAGGUGAAGAAGGAAGAGAGAGAGAGAAAGAGAGAGGUGAAGAAGGGAGAGAGAGAGGUGAAGAAGGAAGAGAGAGAGAGAGGGAGAGAGGUGAAGAAGGAAGAGAGAGAGAGAGGUGAAGAAGGAAGAGAGAGAGAGAGAGAGAGAGAGGUGAAGAAGGAAGAGAGAGAGAGAGAGAGAGGUGAAGAAGGAAGAGAGAGAGAGAGAGAGAGAGGGGUGAAGAAGGAAGAGAGAGAGAGAGGUGAAGAAGGAAGAGAGAGAGAGAGAGAGAGAGAGAGGUGAAGAAGGAAGAGAGAGAGAGAGAGAGGGGAGAGAGAGAGAGAGGUGAAGAAGGAAGAGAGAGAGAGAGGUGAAGAAGGAAGAGAGAGAGAG
This 1870-nucleotide long non-coding RNA is filed under the name Salmo salar (Atlantic salmon). RNAcentral describes it as "lncRNA (ENSSSAG00000095731.1, ENSSSAG00000121810.1)". The record is from RNAcentral. Lineage: Eukaryota; Metazoa; Chordata; Actinopteri; Salmoniformes; Salmonidae.